AUGAAGACCGGUGUGAUCAUGGUUGUUGGGCUGAUUUUCAUCAACAUAUGCGUCUGCAUGCCAAUAAAUGUGGCAAACCAUGCAUCUCACGAUACUGUGCCAGAGAUGAAAAUGCACAGUCUAAUGUCUGGCACUGAUGGCUGGAACGGGCCUCUGAGCAACGAUCACCAGUGCCCACUAGGGACCUACCCUAAUUGCCGAGGGAUGUCCCAGAAUACUCAAGAAGCAGCUCAAGAUGUUGGAAGAAACUAA
This 252-nucleotide ribosomal RNA is filed under the name Triticum aestivum (bread wheat). RNAcentral describes it as "partial small subunit ribosomal RNA". Lineage: Eukaryota; Viridiplantae; Streptophyta; Magnoliopsida; Poales; Poaceae. The record is from RNAcentral.